UGAACUAGGUCGAGACUUGCUCGAGCUUGUUUCAAUCCAUAAAUGAAAAGUUCUCUAACAAAGUCUAGGUUUAAGCUAGACUCGAACUUUUAAAAAAAAAAAUUAAGCUCAAACAAAAUUGAGAGUUACUCGGGUUGGACUCGACGUGAGGAUAAAUCAUGCUCGAUCGUGGUUGAGACAGUCUCGUCUCAACUCCUCAGUCCUUAUGAUAAAUCAUAGUUGGUCGAUGCCAAAACUUACUUGGGCUCAACUACAACCUUUGGAGGGUAGUUAUACUUGAAUGUAGUUGUGACUCGCUCAAUCUAGACUUGGCUCUUAAGAUAAAUUAUGGUAGAUCAAGAUUGAGAUUCACUUGGGCUAGACUUCAUCCUUGGAGGAAAUUAUGAUCGAAGGAGGAUGAGCUGUAGCUGCCAGUAUAUGUGGAUGGUGGGGAGUUGUCGCUGCCACAAUUACAUCUACGAUAAUGUAGCCGUUUUCAUGUGUGGAAAGCGAUUUAAUAUGUAGGACUUUUAAAGCCCAUUUUCUAACAUUUCUUUGUUUAUCAGCAUUUACUCAGUCCUAGCUUUUGUUGCGUGGUAAUCAGAUCUGACAUUGUUGCUUUCUUUUGACUUUGGUUUCUUUCUUCAAAUAUAAAAUGAUCCCUGGCAUACUCUAAUGUGAAACUAUUCCAUCUAGAAGGGUACUACGUCAGGUGAGUUUGAUAUCUUUUAUAUUAUGUUUAGCAUUAAUUUGAUCCCACAUUGUACUAAUUAGCAAACUACAUCAGGUGAGGUUAAUAUAUAAAUAUUAUGUUUUGGCAUUAACUUCUUGUUACAUAGUACUAAUUAGCAAACUCUCUCGAGAUCAAUAUUGAAAAACACGUUCAAAAAAGUCUAUGGAGAUGCAUAUCAGUUGGGGAUAGAAACUUUGCAGCAGGAGCUAUAUUACAAGAGCGGGGGGAGGUUGCUGAAUGUUAUGGG
This 959-nucleotide long non-coding RNA is filed under the name Olea europaea (common olive). RNAcentral describes it as "long non-coding RNA (OEUR_LNC015461)". The record is from RNAcentral. Lineage: Eukaryota; Viridiplantae; Streptophyta; Magnoliopsida; Lamiales; Oleaceae.